CAAAGUUCUACAGUCCGAAUU
RNAcentral lists this small RNA (21 nucleotides) under Arabidopsis thaliana (thale cress). RNAcentral's name for it is "ATSL183900". The record is from RNAcentral. Lineage: Eukaryota; Viridiplantae; Streptophyta; Magnoliopsida; Brassicales; Brassicaceae.